This 21-nucleotide non-coding RNA is filed under the name Caenorhabditis elegans. Lineage: Eukaryota; Metazoa; Nematoda; Chromadorea; Rhabditida; Rhabditidae. The record is from RNAcentral.
UUUGAUUGACAGAAUUGGGAU